RNA transcript from Quercus robur (English oak), 2279 nucleotides. RefSeq lists it as uncharacterized. The record is from RefSeq and is a predicted model, not a curated record. NCBI's taxonomy places the organism in Eukaryota, Viridiplantae, Streptophyta, Magnoliopsida, Fagales, Fagaceae. The transcript has 13 exons.
UGAAGAAUAACAUUCCUCAACAUUUCCUCAAAAAAAAAAAAAAAAAAUCCUCAACUGUUUUUGGCACCUAAAUUAACAUCCUUAUCCCUUUUUCCCGCGCAAGGCCAGCGAUUUCUUCGGCAAAUAAUUAACCGCGAUGCUUUCUUCAACUGUUCCUGCCCUCCCUACAUUACAUAUUAACGCUCGCUCAGGAUGAGUUUUAGUGCCGAAAGCUCAUAAAACUCCCGUACGGUGGUACAACCACCCUCUUAUUUACCUACCCUUCCCACCUAACCCUUCACUUAAAGUUAUAAACCCCAUUUUUCCAUAUCUCUCUCUCCAAUUCUCCAAUGGCAGAAGCAAUUCACAACCUGGCGUUGAUCCUGAAAAACCACCCGCAACCACAAAACGACGCCGAAUUCCUUCUCGUCAAACAGACGCGCCCGCCCAAGUUCAACGACGAGGAGUACGAUUCCUACGUGGAUUCUGAUCUCUGGGACUUGCCCUCCACGCAAUUAAACCUUCUUCACGGAAAUUCUGAGUCUCCCAUCGUCGUCGAAGGCGCCCAAUCCAUCAAUUUGACCAACUUCGAUAUCCAUUCUGCUCUCACAAAGGUAUUGGAACAAGUGGGGUUUGAGGUAACUGAUGGUGGAGAGUGGAAGUUCUGGAAGUAUGUGGAGGAAGCUGAGUUUGGACCAGGGCUGCCGGUUCAUACUGUUUUCAUUAUGGGAAAAUUGCUGGCAGGGGAUCGAAAUUUACAAGAGCGGUGCAAGUGGAUGUCAGUCCAAAGCUGUCUAAGCUGGCUUCUGGAAGUGAAACCAAGCAGUGAUCGUGUGGGGCCUCUGACAGUUGUUGGUCUUGUAAAUGACUCAAUUCAACCUGCAGAUCAGAAAGUCCCAUCCAUCUUACGGCAUCAGGAGUAUCCUCCCGGUGUUAAACUUGUACCAAUUGGAAGUAAGACAGCAAAGCCUUUUCGUACAACAAACUUGAUCAUAUUUGCACCUGAAAAUGUUUCAAAUGAAAGUGAGAACAAUAGUUUUGUUGCAUGUGGGGAUGCAUUGAUAGUGGAUCCAGGAUGUAGGUCUGAAUUCCAUGAAGAGCUCCAAAAAAUAGUUGCUGCUUUGCCACGGAAGUUAGUUGUCUUUGUUACCCAUCAUCAUCGGGAUCAUGUGGAUGGCCUUUCAAUUGUCCAAAAGUGCAACCCCAAUGCUACUUUAUUAGUGCAUGAAAAUACAAUGCGGCGCAUUGGAAAAGGUGACUGGUCUCUUGGCUAUACCUCAGUUUCUGGAGCAGAAGACAUUUGCAUUGGUGGUCAGCGAUUAAGGGUCAUUUUUGCACCGGGUCAUACUGAUGGCCACAUGGCACUGCUUCAUAUGAGUUCUCACUCAUUGAUUGUCGGUGAUCAUUGUGUUGGUCAAGGAAGUGCCAUCUUGGACAUUACUUCUGGUGGAAAUAUGACUCAAUACUUCCAAACAACUUACAAAUUCAUGGAGCUUUCCCCACACACUUUGAUUCCCAUGCAUGGGAGAGUUAACCUGUGGCCAAAGCACAUGCUUUGUGGAUAUCUCAAAAACCGCAGAAGUAGAGAAACGUCCAUCUUGAAAGCUAUAGAAAAUGGAGCUGAAACUUUGUUUGACAUAGUUGCAGAAGUAUACUCUGAAUUUGAUCGUAGUGUAUGGAUUCCUGCUGCAUCAAAUGUGAGGCUUCAUGUGGAGCAUCUGGCUGAGCAAGAUAAGCUACCAAAGAGUGUGCAGGGCUUCUCUUUAGAAACUUUUAAUAGCAGUUUGGAUGCAUUUGCUGACAAGGUGGGUGAAAGAGUGUGCAGGGCUUCUCUUUAGAAACUUUUAGUUGCAGUUUGGCUGCAUUUGCUGGCAAGGUGGGUAGAUUUGAAACCAAGUGAGGAAAGCUUCUUUGGCCACUCGUUAGGCAUUUUCGAUUCAGAAGUUCCAGAAAACUUGUGGGCUGUAUUUCCUUGCCCGAUGGAUUUGGGCAUACCUCAGUAAGGGUCUCCAGUUAAAUUAUCAGAAGCUAUGGACAUCUAAAUUAUUUGUAUUUGGUGCAGUGGCUAGCUUUGCUGUUCUGUACUCAGUUAAUAAGUUCAGUGCUAAAUAAGACCCCAUAAGGGCAUAAAAUCUGGAAUUCGGUUUCAGAUGUAAUCUAAGUAUAUAUCAGUAAUUACUAAUUAGUCUAUUCAUAUUGUAUUGUAGAGGAUUUUCCAGAAGUUAGUGGAACAGGGUCUAAAUGGUUGGUUUAUACUUGAUAUGAUGCUAUGGUAAAGGUCAUUGGUGUUUACAAGUUUA